Molecule: long non-coding RNA, 211 nt
Filed under: Theobroma cacao (cacao)
Lineage: Eukaryota; Viridiplantae; Streptophyta; Magnoliopsida; Malvales; Malvaceae
Description: long non-coding RNA (TCAC_LNC001791)
Source: RNAcentral
AUAGUCAGUAGAUAGUUGAUUUCGUCGAGGGCUACAGUUGGAUUUGCAUCCUAAAAAACCAUAGGUUCACAGCCUUCGUUACUUUUGGUCUUUCGGGGGUCCACACGUCAUUGUAAAUUAAAUUACAUACUCUGGUUAUCUGUGUUAUUGUAUGUACGAAUUUAUUUUGCUUUUACGCUACAAAAAUUAUUUACGGAUAUCUCUAUAGAAA